GUGCUUGGUGGCUCAGUUGGUAGACCAUGUGCAGAGGCUGUAGUCCUCAACGCGAUUGUCCUGGGUUCCAUUCCCGGUCCCUGGACA
Molecule: non-coding RNA, 87 nt
Organism: Ataeniobius toweri
Lineage: Eukaryota; Metazoa; Chordata; Actinopteri; Cyprinodontiformes; Goodeidae
Source: the annotation of a GenBank genome assembly